AUACGUAGGUGCCAAGCGUUAUCCGGAUUUACUGGGCGUAAAGGGCGUGUAGGCGGUCUUGUAAGUCAGAAGUGAAAUUCCUGAGCUCAACUCGGGCGCUGCUUCUGAAACUGCAGGACUUGAGUGCUGGAGGGGAUAGCGGAAUUCCUAGUGGAGCGGUGAAAUGCGCAGAUAUUAGGAAGAACACCGGUGGCGAAGGCGGCUUGCUGGGCAGUAACUGGCGCUGUGGCGCGAAGUCGUGGGGAGAAAAAAGAGUUUGAUACCCUUUUAGACCACGCCGUAAACGAUGAGUCCUAGGUGUAGGGGGUAUCGACUCCCUCUGUGCCGCAGUUAACACAAUAAGUAUUCCGCCUGGGGAGUACGGCCGCAAGGUUGAAACUCAAAGGAAUUGACGGGG
Molecule: ribosomal RNA, 397 nt
Filed under: uncultured bacterium
Lineage: Bacteria
Description: partial 16S ribosomal RNA
Rfam family: Bacterial small subunit ribosomal RNA
Source: RNAcentral